This is a long non-coding RNA of Numida meleagris (helmeted guineafowl), 3150 nucleotides long. RefSeq lists it as uncharacterized. The transcript has 4 exons. NCBI's taxonomy places the organism in Eukaryota, Metazoa, Chordata, Aves, Galliformes, Numididae. The record is from RefSeq and is a predicted model, not a curated record.
CUCAAUUGCCCGUGUGCAUGAGAAUCAGGUGGAAGAAACAUAAACACGGCUGCAGAGAUUUUGUCUGCAAAGAUGGAUUUAAAAUUACUGAAGACAGCAUGAAGACACUUAGGGGGCAACAGUGGCCCUUGUUGUCUAUAGAUUUGGUUAUUUUCCAUUGAUUGCUUUUCAUUUUUUUGGUUAUACGGUCACCCCCACAUUUGACAACUGCUCUGAGUGAAGUGAAGCUGCACUGCUUGCAGCAGGCAGUAGUAUUUCUCGCAGCAAAUGGGCGUAGCUGCUGGAGAUGCCUCCCUUCCCUUCCUUCACAGGAUUCAUUUCCACUCAGGCACAUUGCUAUCAGCUCGAGUUUGUGUCCGUCUGAUUUUUCUGAGUAUCAGUGGGAGAAGAGAAAUGGUGCAGGCAGUUUUGCACGUGGAUAUGUAAACACCGUGUGCGUUUGGCAAAAACGACACAGAGACAAAACAACCAAAGAAGCACAUAACACCUGGCUGGCCUCCUGCUGUCCCGCCCUUGCACCACCGGGUCUGCUCGGGUUUUGGCAACGCUCAGGGUUGGCGGGAGCUGUCAGUGCGGGUAAUCCUAUUCUAGAGCGACCUCUCGUGUUAUUUUGGCUAACUUCUGUUCGUUUUGUUUGUCGCCCAGUUUCCAAGAAGACCAAGGAAACACCAAGGAGUUGUUCCGGAUGUGGGUUUUGCUCAGUGCAGCCGGCUCAGGCACAAUCCCUCCCAUUUGCUUGUUGCUCACUCAACGUGCUGCAGUGCACCGACUCCCUUUCUUCCUGAAAUCAUCCCAACAGCGCUAGCGAGAGGAUUUCCCCCCUCUUUUAAAUUAAUUUUCAUGUAUAUUCACUUCUGUUCGGAGUCUUCACCUUUCAGUGAAAUGACCAGAUGUCUCAGAAAGCCUGGAGCGAUGCUGGCAUCAGGAGACUUCGCCCCCAUCCUGAGUGACUGCCGACUGAGAUGCCAAUAUGUUCUGGGCUGAGGCAGGACUUCCUUUGGGUAGCAAUAGAAUGCAGUGACCUGCUGCGUCCCUCAUGCACUAAGGUUCCUGUUUGGAAAGACAUACCCGAUUUCAAGUAUCUGGACGCACCAGAGAUCUCCUCAAAGAAGAUUUCUGGUGGAUCCUCAAUAAAAUCCUCCACGAGACUCCUUUUGUGUUGAAGAAAUAAUGCUUUUCAUCCAGAACGAGGGAAUCCUGCAGAUGAACAGCUUACCCCUAGAGGUCACUGCGAUCCAGGGAUUUUAGACAGAAUUCACCUUCAGAGGGCGAAGAAGACUUCUGGGUUUCUUCAGUGCAAAUUCUUCAUAGGAGUGAAUUUUACUGUGCUGGUCGAUUUGGGCUGCAUUUGAUUUAGUUCUCUGUCAUGAUUUACCAAGAUCUCUAUAUUUUCCAUCAUAUGAUGUGAUAAUUUUUUUGAGUUAACUCUCCCAUUUCAGUGCAGAUCUCUGGUAGCUGUCAGUGGUAGGUAUAUGCUGGAAGCAAGCUGGUUCAGAAGCAUCAUGGCGCUUGAUGAACUACAGUCUAGCAUUUUGAUUUUGAAGGGGAAUAGAGUGGGUGGGUAUCAAAAUGUCCCAAUUGCAGAAAGUCUUUUUCAGGAUUUUCCAAGUCUGCUGUGAAUUUUGAAACGCCUGUGAAAUGUGAUCUUCUUUGUCUCAAAUCUAGGAAAACAGAUAUAUUUCAAAACAUGAAAAAAAAUUACUAAAAAAAAGACUCUUUUCUGACUCCCACUUUUCACAAUAUUUUGAUCAUAUUCUGCCUGCUGCCCACUGAAUUUUCCCUAAGCAAGUUCUACUGUAACGCAAGUACAUGUAGUCAGAGUAAGUGAAAGAACAGUUGGACGAAACUUCCUCCAUAACAAAAAAACCCUAAAACUUGGAAAAAGAUCCAUGGCUAGAAAUAAGUGGAGCUGGAUAGUCCACGGUCCCUUCUGUAUAACAUCCACCAUAACUGAAUAGUGCAGAAUUCCACCUUUGCAUCAUAUGGCAAAAUAUGCAAAUUUCUAUGAAUAAUGGAUUUAAUCCUAUUAGAAAAGAGAUUAAAAGUAGUUAAACAUGUCAACCUUGAUUCUGUUCUAUGACUUGUUAGCAGAGACAGAAGUAUAUGCUUAUCCAGUUGAUGAACUGUUGUGGCAUCGGCAGCCACAGCUCUCCCUUGGGAACCUGCCAUGUUUGCAAAACCUGGCUGUUAUGUUUUUCCUUAUCUCAAAUGACUUUCAAUAUUGCAUCGGCUAUCUAAUGCUAUACAUUCAUGUGAUAAUCCUAUGGUCAAGUGUUUUGGACUGGCCAAGCCCUUGGAGGAGAAAACAGAAAGGAUGUGGUGCACUUUUUGUGCUUUGCUUUGCAACUGCUUCUUGGUAAAUCCUUUAGCGAGACACAAACUGUCUUAAUUUCCCAAUUGCACAAGAUUCAUCAUAGCUAUGCCAGUAAGCAUUGUAUAUAUGGUGUGAGAAUAACCAAUGACUAACAAAAGUUUAAAGAUCCUGUUAGGAGAGCAUAAAAAUUAUCAAAAUUGCAGGCACUGAAUUCCCAAAAUAUCUACUGUCUGACCAAAUAGUUGAAAUAUCAGAGUGGUGUUAAAAAAGGGCAUACUGUGAAGCACUGUACAGUAAUAUGGAAAAGCAGAAGAAAUGCUACUGCCAUAGUUCACUACAUAAAGAUACAAAUACACAAACAGAACGUUUAUAUGUUCCCAAAAUGAGUAGUAUAUGUUAGUGGAGGGUAGGAUACGUGGAUAACACCUAAAGGACUUAGCUGAGGGAUAAAAAGAGAUGGUAAUAUACAGCUCUGAUCACCUUCUGUUUCUUGCCAGAAAAGGAAAAGGGAAAAAAUGUUAUUUUUACAGGUCAAGUGAGGCAAAUUGAAUGUAGGACCUCCUCUGAUUAAGGAUUUGCAGGCAGCUCUAGCACAGAGAAUGUGAGGUGCUCAGGUGGCUACUGUGAAAGUACUCACUCUGAAAAGGCUGCAGCUGCCCUCAUGAGCUCCCCUCUGUCAUGUGAGGUGACAUCAGCACUGGGGAGAGUGGAAAAAUUAAAAAAUGUGUGUAUUGGCACAUAGUAUGUGUGAACUGUGAACCUACACGAGUAAUUUGAUAACGCAUGAAUUUAUCCCCAGAAUCAAAUAUCUAAGUAUGAAGAAGUUGUUUUAUCCU